This 1147-nucleotide long non-coding RNA is filed under the name Fragaria vesca (wild strawberry). RNAcentral's name for it is "long non-coding RNA (FVES_LNC000415)". Lineage: Eukaryota; Viridiplantae; Streptophyta; Magnoliopsida; Rosales; Rosaceae. The record is from RNAcentral.
CCGAGCCUCCCGCUGCCCGGUUUUCCGGCCGUCCUCCCGCCGCCGUCCGGCCACCAACCGCCGCCGCACCGGUCCCGUUCGGUCGACCUCCAACCCAGCAACCUCCCUGGACCGGUGAGAGGAGCCCUAGCUCCGCCGUGAGAGAGCGGUGCCACCCGAAAGGUCCGACUGUCCAAAGCUUCACUUCGCCGGAACUUCCUCCUCCGGCCACCAAUCCGGGCAAGCUUGGUACGGUUUUGUAGCCCUCCUCCCGUGCAACAACCCCUCCAAGCAGCUCCCUCCCUCUUGAGCUAGGUAAGGAGAAACGUGGAGUUGAAAUUUCUAGGCUUUUAAGUUGUUUUCGUUCGAUUAGCCUAGUUAGGCUUGGAAUUGGGUGAUGUGUUGGUCAUGAAAGUUGUAGAGCAUGAUGAGGAGAUUAUUCUGUCAAAAUUCAUAGGUUUUGGAGGUCGCCGGAUUUGGCCUCCGGCCGCCGCCGGUUAGGAGAUUUUUAGAGUUUUAAAUGUGGAAUAUUAAGAGGAGUAUAUUGGUGUGAUUUAUGGAAUUUUUGGAUGAGAUUUGGAUAGGUUUGUGAAUUUCCGAAGUUUGGUAUUUUUGGCGGUUAAUUAAUGUAGAAUCCGACCGUAGGAUUUAAGUCGUAUUUUGGGGAGGUUGUAUUUACGACUGUUGAGUAUGAUAUUUAAGUUCGGAUCGUUCCGAUGUAAGAAUAUCGAAGUUAGGCAAUGAUGAGCGUAAUUAUGGCUCUCGGGUAAUUUUGCCUAUUUUGAUUAAAUAUUGGAUUAUUGGUUGGGAAAUUUAAUAUUAUAUUUGGAACAGGACGUGAGGAGGCUCGAGCAGACGAGACCCCAGAUCGACAUCAGGCUUAGGCCUAAUUUGUGAGUGGACGUUUAUUUUAAAUAAAUGCAUGCUAAAGUUCACGAUUGAAUAAUUAAUGUCGUGGAAUAGUUUGACGUCAUCUUAAUUUUUUGACGAUUUUUACUUCUCUUGGAGAGAUACCGAAAAUGGGAUUUUCGGUGGAUAUAAAUAUGUAUUUAUGAGAGAGUAUGUAUAGAAAAUGCUAGCUAGCCAUAUGUGUCUGUCCACCUUAAUGGCGUAGCAUAUAGCCGCAUUAUGGUGUGACGUGAGCGUUGGACGUAAGCGUAGUAGCCCU